UUACGAGCUUUGAACGGGUUGUUGCUGGCCUUCCGAGGCAUGUGCACGCCCUGCUCAUCCACUCUACACCUGUGCACUUACUGUAGGUUGGCGUGGGUUUCUGGCCUCCGGGUUGGAAGCAUUCUGCCGGCCUAUGUACACUACAAACUCUUAAAGUAUCAGAAUGUAAACGCGUCUAACGCAUCUUAAUACAACUUUCAGCAACGGAUCUCUUGGCUCUCGCAUCGAUGAAGAACGCAGCGAAAUGCGAUAAGUAAUGUGAAUUGCAGAAUUCAGUGAAUCAUCGAAUCUUUGAACGCACCUUGCGCUCCUUGGUAUUCCGAGGAGCAUGCCUGUUUGAGUGUCAUGAAAUUCUCAACCCAUAAAUCCUUGUGAUCUAUGGGCUUGGAUUUGGAGGCUUGCUGGCCCUAGCGGUCGGCUCCUCUUGAAUGCAUUAGCUUGAUUCCGUGCGGAUCGGCUCUCAGUGUGAUAAUUGUCUACGCUGUGACCGUGAAGCGUUUUGGCAAGCUUCUAACCGUCCAUUAGGACAAUUUUAUAACAUCUGACCUCAAAUCAGGUAGGACUACCCGCUGAACUUAAGCAUAUCAUAA
Molecule: ribosomal RNA, 590 nt
Filed under: Trametes sp. song-41
Lineage: Eukaryota; Fungi; Basidiomycota; Agaricomycetes; Polyporales; Polyporaceae
Description: eukaryotic LSU rRNA
Rfam family: 5.8S ribosomal RNA (bases 193-346)
Source: RNAcentral